Molecule: ribosomal RNA, 440 nt
Filed under: uncultured bacterium
Lineage: Bacteria
Description: partial 16S ribosomal RNA
Rfam family: Bacterial small subunit ribosomal RNA
Source: RNAcentral
CCUACGGGAGGCAGCAGUGGGGGAUAUUGGACAAUGGGGGAAACCCUGAUCCAGCGAUGCCGCGUGAGGGAAGAAGGUUUUCGGAUUGUAAACCUCUGUGGAGGGGGACGAUAAUGACGGUACCCCUUUAGGAAGCCACGGCUAACUACGUGCCAGCAGCCGCGGUAAUACGUAGGGGGCAAGCGUUAUCCGGAAUUACUGGGUGUAAAGGGAGCGUAGACGGUUAAGUAAGUCUGGAGCGAAAGGCCGGGGCCCAACCCCGGGACUGCUCUGGAAACUAUUGAACUUGAGUGCAGGAGAGGUAAGCGGAAUUCCUAGUGUAGCGGUGAAAUGCGUAGAUAUUAGGAGGAACACCAGUGGCGAAGGCGGCUUACUGGACUGUAACUGACGUUGAGGCUCGAAAGCGUGGGGAGCAAACAGGAUUAGAUACCCUGGUAGUC